CUCAAGGACAGCAAUUGGGUUGACACUUCAGAUCAUACAAAGGACUUCUUUCCUUCACCCAGUGUGCCUUCUAAUGGGACGGCUCUGUGCAGUUGCCAUUAUUUUGUGUCAUUUCUUCCAUUAUGAUUAUUGUUUAUUUCACAUCAUCAUUUCCUUUUUGCGGGUCUGCUGUUUCCAGUUGUUAACCAGUAGUUUUCCUGGGAUUUGCAUGUCCUUUCCCCACUGCUCCAGGGUGGCACGCUGGCAGGAAGUUCUCACCGGUGCUGAGCGUCCGGGGACAGUCCUGAGAGCGGUGUUCCGGGAGACUGGGGAGCAACCACACUUAAUCUCGAUGGAAGUGAUGUCAAUUGUAAUAGUUUCCGUGCAUCCAGUUCUCAGUCCUUGGACUCUGAACUGGCCUUCUGCCUUAUUUUGACCGGAAGAGCGUGGUGGAAGUGACAGUGUUCCCGUGCGGAGCCGUGACCUUGAGAGGCCUGGCAGGGGCAGGAGUUCCGGGAGUGACCCUGUCACUCUGGAGAUUGUCACUCUGGGCUUGCAGCAGUCAUUCGUGGAGGUCUACUACUUCUUGUUCUAAGGGCCAGAAGUCCAAACUGAGUCAUUUGGGCUAAAAUCAAGAUGUCAGCCAGGACAGUUCCUUCUGGAGGGUCCGGGGGGAAUCCGUUCCUUGCUGCGGCCAGCAGUCAGCGCUCCGUGGCUUGUGGCUGCAUCACUCCAAUCUGCCUCCAAGGCCACCUCUCCUCCUCCUCUGCUUCUGCAGCCAAAUACCCCUCUGCUUCUACCUUAAAAGGGUACUCAUGAUUACAUGUAGGGCCCACCUGGAUACUCUAGGACACUCUCUCCUUCUCAAGACCCGUAGCUUAAUCAUACCUGCCAUAGAAGGUGACAUUCACAGCCUUUGGGAAUUAGGACCUGGCUAUUCUUCAGCCUGUUACAUUGGCUGGACGUGGGGCAGACUUGAAAGUGUUCCUCAGCCGCUGAUUCAUCAGCAAAGGGCAGCACGUCACUGGCUUGGGAGCUGAAGCACAACCUUUGCCCAGUCGGUGGCUGAACCCUAAGCUAUGCUGACUCAGAUGCAACUUCUGGGCAGCCAGGCUUAAAUAUAAGAAGGGGGGGGGGGACUUCCCUUGUGGCACAGUGGUUAAGAAUCCGCCUGCCAAUGCAGGGGACAUGGGUUCGAGCCCUGGUCCGGGAAGAUCCCACAUGCCGCGGAGCAACUAAGCCUGUGUGCCACAACUACUGAGCCUGCGCGUCUGGAGCCUGUGAGCCACAACUACUGAAGCCCACGUACCUAGAGCCCAUGCUCCGCAACAAGAGAAGCCACCGCAAGGAGAAGCCCACGCAGCACAACGAAGAGUAGCCCCCGCUUGCCACAACUAGAGAAAGCCCGUGCGCAGCAACGAAGACCCAGCGCAGCCAAAAAUAAAUAAAUUAAUUAAUUAAUUUUUUAAAAAAAGGAAGGGGGGGAGGGGGCCUGAGUAGUGACGUCAUAAGCUGCACACUGUGGAGAAACAGACUUCACAGAACUGCUGCAGACAAGCCACUGGACUAAUUAACAGCAACAGCAACAAGCCCAAGGAGGGGCCAGCUAAACGUAACCCAGAGUUGCUACAACAGAUCAUUUAAAACGUCCAGUUUUCAGCAAAACACCCUGAGACGUGCAGAGAAAUAGGACAGGGUGAUGGUUGCACAGGAGAGGGAUGCAGCAGUCACUGCCCUUGAAGGGCCAGGUUUUGGAUUCGUAGACAGAGACAUCAAAGCUUCGCUUACACAAAGGCCCAUGAAAGGGGUGGCUGCAGUGGCAGGUGGCGGCGGGCCCCUCUGCCACUGCAAAUACCCCGCCUGCAGCAGCAGAGACCCACAACCUCACUCGCACCCCUUCCACCUGGAGGGGCAGUUAUUUGUUCUGCCCCAAACCAGCCCCUAUUCUGGACACGGCUUUGCCCUCCCUGACAGCUCCUCUCCCAGCACCUUCAUCCCAGGCUUGCCAAACGCCUUACCUCCCGCUGGGUGCUGCUGCACACCAAGGACCCAUCUGAGAGCCAACGGCCCCUGGCAAUGAGCUCAUGACCCCGGGAAUCACUGGUCUUCCCAGGUUCCCCAUCGGCCUAACAGAAUGGAGACAGUCUGUUGAAGGCCCUGCCAUGCUUCCAACUGGCUGUUGACCCCUCUUGGGAUGGGACGCUUGCUGCUGAGAUGCAUCUGUGCUGCCUAAGGGGUCUGGGGUCUGGGGACAGAUUCACUGCGAAGUCAUGAGGCUCAGCUCGGGACUCUUCCAGACCAGGGCCCCAGCAAAGUGUUCACAGGGUCGCACAUUUUGUAAAAUGUGCAAAAGUACAUAAUUUAAUCACAGUCGGUUAAUGCUGUCUCUUCCCAAUGCAACCCGCUUUGGUUCAUUUCCUCCCCUGCCACACGGAACGGGGUGGGGGGAGCGUCGUGGGCUCCACUCAGGGAGGCUGAGUCGGGAGAGCUUUAGUGUGAUUCUGGGGGAACAUUCACUUCCUGGUGUAGUUCAGUUAUUGCUCUCAUUCUGGUAUAGAAGUGGCUGCCAGGAACACACCCGCCCUCUGUGCUCUGUGUCACUACACAUCAAGCUAAUGGAAUUGGCUAAGGAGUGUCGUCAGUUCGAAAACCAUCUAAGUUAGUCACAGACAAGGGCCCCCAAAGGCCCUGAAAUCUUAGGGCUCAUAUGUAAAAGAAAUUUGAUAGAGGUUUUCUCAAAUUUAAUAAUUCUAAAAAUUAUUUACACAAUAUUAGCUAAAGGUGCUGUUACCUGAAAACAACUUUUCUCCUAAGCUGUAAGUUAUAAAAAUAAACUUUGAUGGGACUUCCUUGAUGGUCCAGUGGGUAAGACUCUGCACUCCCAGUGCAGGGGGCCCAGGUUCGAUCCCUGGUCGGGGAACUAGAUCCCGCAUGCAUGCUGCAACUAAGAAGUCAGCAUGCUGCAACUAAGAAGCCCGCAUGCUGCAACUGAAAAGAUCCCAUGUGCCACAACAAAGACCCGGCGCAGCCAAAAUAAAUAAAUAAAAAUAAAUGUAUUAAAUAAAGUAAACUUUGAUUAAGCAUGUUUGUUAGAGGGGAGACUAAAUUAUCCUCUCUAUAUAGAAGGUGACAUCAUGAAAGUGUCAUCAUCUUAAGAGGUGACAGAUUUUGUGUCUGAAAAGCACAGGGGAAACAUGUUAGAGAAAUACGUCAGGAAGUUAAUUGAUGACAUUAUGUUUGUUUCCUGUGUUUUGUGAUGUUUGUGAUAUCAGUCGACUUUAAAAAUUUGUGUUGCAUGUUGGGAUUUCUUUCCUCUAUUCACUUAAUUUUGUAUAUAUGAUUUUGUCCUCUGUUUCUUUUUUUAAAAAAAUAUUUAUUUAUUUAUUAAUAAAAUUAGUUGCGGCACACGGGAUCUUCA
Molecule: long non-coding RNA, 3397 nt
Organism: Balaenoptera acutorostrata (minke whale)
Lineage: Eukaryota; Metazoa; Chordata; Mammalia; Artiodactyla; Balaenopteridae
Exons: 3
Source: RefSeq, a predicted model, not a curated record